CCCCGCCCCAAGCUGGCAGUGAGGAGCCCUGGGCCGAGUCAGGCUGAGCUCUAGGCCCCCAGCUGACCAGGCCCAGGGCCUGGCCUCCCGCGAGGGGGAGGGGGUACAGCUGAGGCGUCCGCACAGGGGGUGAGGGAUUGAGUGAGGCAGGCCACAAAGUGUUCUCAGGCUCGCCAGGCCGGGGCCCCUUUCUCUCCAUGAGAUCAUAUCUGGGUCAAAGAGCAUGUAAAGCCGGGAGACCCCAGCGGUCACACAAAGCCCAUUCAGGCCGGCCCCUAUUCACUCCCCUCCUCUCCCCCCGGGCCCUGAGCGGCCGCCUUGGACCCCAGCGCAGCGCCUAAGCCCUGGCUUUGAUGUCCUCCAACAGAAAACGGCGAUUAAAUGUUGUUUUAAAGAGGGAGAGCUCGCUGCCCUCCCAUCUGUCAAGAGAAAGCUGAGGCAGGAGGGAGAGGCUGGGGGAGGGGCGGCACUGGCCCGCAGGAGGGGGGCAGGGGGCAGGAGAGGAGGUCACUGUUAAAGGAAUGACGACCACAUCUUGGAGGGAUACAGGAUUUUUCCCCCCAAGAAACACUGAAGUUACAAAGAAACGUGUCAAUCUACACGGAACGAAGGCAGAUGCGGAAAGCUGCAACCCGGACCGCUCAACUUCGAGCGCGAACUGCUUCUGUACUAGGACAGAGAGGACUGGCAAACACGACUGACUGCGGGGGUGGGGGGGGGGUGCACGCAGGCGGCAGGUGAGAAGAAGGGAAGGAAGGGAGGGAGGGAAGGAAGGGAGGAAGGGGAGGAAGGAAGGAGGGAGAUAGAGAAGGGAAAGGAGGUAAGAGGAGAAAGAGGGGAGGUGAGAAAGACAGAUUUGUACAAAAAAAAGGAACCAGUAAAAUUGAAGAAACAAAAUUGGGCAACCUCCUAAAAUUAGGCUAAGAGGAGGUGCUGAGGUAGACAUUAACUAGAACAUCAAUUAAUUAAAACACUAUUUUGUAAUACAGAGCAAUCGGACUGGCACUUGUGCUGUCGCGACAUAAGACAAGCCAUGAAAACGAAAACAAAAAAAAACCCAACAAAAUGAAAACAGAACAAAACAAAAAACACCCAAACCAAAAGGCUUAGUUUUGCUUGGUCCAGCAGGGCGGCGGCCCUCAGUGCUAUAAUUUACAUAUAUAUUUAUAUUUAUAUAUAUAUAUAUGGGUAGGAUUCCAUGGUGUUCCACCAUGGAUUCUUAACCUUAAAAAGAUCAUGCAUAACACUAUGUGAACAAACACUAUGAUAGACACCAAGAGGUUGGUACCCUGUCUGCACAGUGGGAUGGCCCAGGGUGG
RNAcentral lists this long non-coding RNA (1319 nucleotides) under Monodelphis domestica (gray short-tailed opossum). Its description in RNAcentral is "lncRNA (ENSMODG00000045293.1)". Lineage: Eukaryota; Metazoa; Chordata; Mammalia; Didelphimorphia; Didelphidae. The record is from RNAcentral.